CGAAAACUCAUCAGAAGUAUCAUCCUCGAACCUGAAGGAUAUAUAACACAAUCUGUAAUGUCGUCUGCUUCUCCCUUUAUUGCAUAAAGCUAUUAUAACUAAUAUCAUUACAUUUCAACAAGGGAAAAGACACCAUUUUAUAACCAAGUGUCCAGCCUUAGACUUUUUGUUCAUUUUCUUCUACCUAUCCAUAACUCUUCAGUGUGCAAUGGUGAAAAAAUCUCAAGAUCAAUAGGGUCCAGUAUCAGCCUGCUGGUCAAAGGAGCCCGUUCUGUCUGUUCUGUCGAUCCCAUGGCAGAAGACUGGGAGAAGUUCCUGGGAGGCCCUGAAAGCCUCCUCUGCACGCUCCUUCCCCCAGUUGCUGCUUCCUCUGAGUGC
This 378-nucleotide long non-coding RNA is filed under the name Ornithorhynchus anatinus (platypus). Its description in RNAcentral is "lncRNA (ENSOANG00000050045.1)". The record is from RNAcentral. Lineage: Eukaryota; Metazoa; Chordata; Mammalia; Monotremata; Ornithorhynchidae.